Molecule: ribosomal RNA, 165 nt
Filed under: Pseudo-nitzschia abrensis
Lineage: Eukaryota; Bacillariophyta; Bacillariophyceae; Bacillariales; Bacillariaceae
Description: 5.8S ribosomal RNA
Rfam family: 5.8S ribosomal RNA
About the family: 5.8S ribosomal RNA (5.8S rRNA) is a component of the large subunit of the eukaryotic ribosome.
Source: RNAcentral
UACAACUUUCAGCGGUGGAUGUCUAGGUUCCCACAACGAUGAAGAACGCAGCGAAAUGCGAUACGCAAUGCGAAUUGCAAGACCUCGUGAAUCAUCAAAAUUUUGAACGCACAUUGCGCUCUCGGGAUUUUCCCGUGAGCAUGCUUGUCUGAGUGUCUGUGGACC